Bombyx mori (domestic silkworm) is the source of this 84-nucleotide non-coding RNA. The record is from Rfam. NCBI's taxonomy places the organism in Eukaryota, Metazoa, Arthropoda, Insecta, Lepidoptera, Bombycidae.
ACCAGUAAAUAUUGUAUGGAAUGGGAUCGUUUGCCUACGUUUGCCGCUAGGGGCGCUGUUCCAACUGCAUACAAAAUUGGGUUA